RNAcentral lists this ribosomal RNA (477 nucleotides) under uncultured organism. RNAcentral's name for it is "partial 16S ribosomal RNA". It matches the Rfam family "Bacterial small subunit ribosomal RNA", at positions 332 to 800 of the family's 1533-position model. The record is from RNAcentral.
UACACUCCUACGGGAGGCAGCAGUGGGGAAUUUUGGACAAUGGGCGCAAGCCUGAUCCAGCCAUGCCGCGUGCGGGAAGAAGGCCUUCGGGUUGUAAACCGCUUUUGUCAGGGAAGAAAAGGUUCUGGCUAAUACCUGGGACUCAUGACGGUACCUGAAGAAUAAGCACCGGCUAACUACGUGCCAGCAGCCGCGGUAAUACGUAGGGUGCAAGCGUUAAUCGGAAUUACUGGGCGUAAAGCGUGCGCAGGCGGUUAUGCAAGACAGAGGUGAAAUCCCCGGGCUCAACCUGGGAACUGCCUUUGUGACUGCAUGGCUAGAGUACGGUAGAGGGGGAUGGAAUUCCGCGUGUAGCAGUGAAAUGCGUAGAUAUGCGGAGGAACACCGAUGGCGAAGGCAAUCCCCUGGACCUGUACUGACGCUCAUGCACGAAAGCGUGGGGAGCAAACAGGAUUAGAAACCCGGGUAGUCCCAUGA